UAGGGAAUCUUCGGCAAUGGGGGCAACCCUGACCGAGCAACGCCGCGUGAGUGAAGAAGGUUUUCGGAUCGUAAAGCUCUGUUGUAAGAGAAGAACGUGUGUGAGAGUGGAAAGUUCACACAGUGACGGUAACUUACCAGAAAGGGACGGCUAACUACGUGCCAGCAGCCGCGGUAAUACGUAGGUCCCGAGCGUUGUCCGGAUUUAUUGGGCGUAAAGCGAGCGCAGGCGGUUUAAUAAGUCUGAAGUUAAAGGCAGUGGCUUAACCAUUGUUCGCUUUGGAAACUGUUAGACUUGAGUGCAGAAGGGGGGAGUGGAAUUCCAUGUGUAGCGGUGAAAUGCGUAGAUAUAUGGAGGAACACCGGUGGCGAAAGCGGCUCUCUGGUCUGUAACUGACGCUGAGGCUCGAAAGCGUGGGGAGCAAACA
RNAcentral lists this ribosomal RNA (427 nucleotides) under uncultured Streptococcus sp. RNAcentral's name for it is "bacterial SSU rRNA". It matches the Rfam family "Bacterial small subunit ribosomal RNA", at positions 355 to 774 of the family's 1533-position model. The record is from RNAcentral. Lineage: Bacteria; Bacillati; Bacillota; Bacilli; Lactobacillales; Streptococcaceae.